This 493-nucleotide ribosomal RNA is filed under the name uncultured bacterium. Its description in RNAcentral is "bacterial SSU rRNA". It matches the Rfam family "Bacterial small subunit ribosomal RNA", at positions 373 to 882 of the family's 1533-position model. The record is from RNAcentral.
GGGGGAAACCCUGACGCAGCAACGCCGCGUGGAGGACGAAGGUUUUCGGAUUGUAAACUCCUGUCCUCUGGGACGAUAAUGACGGUACCAGAGGAGGAAGCCACGGCUAACUACGUGCCAGCAGCCGCGGUAAUACGUAGGUGGCAAGCGUUGUCCGGAAUUACUGGGCGUAAAGGGCGUGUAGGCGGUACCCUAAGUCAGAUGUGAAAACCCGGAGCUUAACUUCGGAACUGCAUUUGAAACUGGGGAACUCGAGUGUCGGAGAGGAAAGCGGAAUUCCUAGUGUAGCGGUGAAAUGCGUAGAUAUUAGGAGGAACACCAGUGGCGAAGGCGGCUUUCUGGACGAUAACUGACGCUGAGGCGCGAAAGCGUGGGGAGCAAACAGGAUUAGAUACCCUGGUAGUCCACGCUGUAAACGAUGGAUACUAGGUGUGGGAGGUAUCGAACCCUUCCGUGCCGCAGUAAACGCAAUAAGUAUCCCGCCUGGGGAGUA